GAGGGUAUAACUCGGGUAGAGUGUAUUCCUAGAAUGCAUGAGGUCCUGGGUUCAAUCCCCAGUACCUCCA
This 70-nucleotide transfer RNA is filed under the name Camelus bactrianus (Bactrian camel). It matches the Rfam family "tRNA". Rfam says of the family: Transfer RNA (tRNA) molecules are approximately 80 nucleotides in length. Their secondary structure includes four short double-helical elements and three loops (D, anti-codon, and T loops). Lineage: Eukaryota; Metazoa; Chordata; Mammalia; Artiodactyla; Camelidae. RNAcentral also lists the same sequence under 2 other names. The record is from Rfam by way of RNAcentral.